CCUACGGGAGGCAGCAGUGGGGAAUAUUGGGCAAUGGGCGCAAGCCUGACCCAGCAACGCCGCGUGAAGGAAGAAGGCUUUCGGGUUGUAAACUUCUUUUAAGGGGGAAGAGCAGAAGACGGUACCCCUUGAAUAAGCCACGGCUAACUACGUGCCAGCAGCCGCGGUAAUACGUAGGUGGCAAGCGUUGUCCGGAUUUACUGGGUGUAAAGGGCGUGCAGCCGGAGAGACAAGUCAGAUGUGAAAUCCACGGGCUCAACCCGUGAACUGCAUUUGAAACUGUUUCCCUUGAGUGUCGGAGAGGUAAUCGGAAUUCCUUGUGUAGCGGUGAAAUGCGUAGAGAUAAGGAAGAACACCAGUGGCGAAGGCGGAUUACUGGACGAUAACUGACGGUGAGGCGCGAAAGCGUGGGGAGCAAACAGGAUUAGAUACCCCUGUAGUC
This 442-nucleotide ribosomal RNA is filed under the name uncultured bacterium. Its description in RNAcentral is "partial 16S ribosomal RNA". It matches the Rfam family "Bacterial small subunit ribosomal RNA", at positions 338 to 795 of the family's 1533-position model. The record is from RNAcentral.